UUCCAGACUCCUACGGGAGGCAGCAGUGGGGAAUAUUGCACAAUGGGGGAAACCCUGAUGCAGCGACGCCGCGUGAGCGAUGAAGUAUUUCGGUAUGUAAAGCUCUAUCAGCAGGGAAGAAGAAAGACGGUACCCGACCAAGAAGCCCCGGCUAACUACGUGCCAGCAGCCGCGGUAAUACGUAGGGGGCGAGCGUUAUCCGGAAUUACUGGGUGUAAAGGGAGCGUAGACGGCGAGGUAAGCCUGAAGUGGAAGCCCGCGGCCCAACCGCGGAACUGCUUUGGGAACUGUUUUGCUGGAGUAUGGGAGGGGUAAGCGGAAUUCCUGGUGUAGCGGUGAAAUGCGUAGAUAUCAGGAGGAACACCGGUGGCGAAGGCGGCUUACUGGACCAUAACUGACGUUGAGGCUCGAAAGCGUGGGGAGCGAACAGGAUUAGAUACCCUCGUAAC
This 449-nucleotide ribosomal RNA is filed under the name uncultured bacterium. RNAcentral's name for it is "bacterial SSU rRNA". It matches the Rfam family "Bacterial small subunit ribosomal RNA", at positions 329 to 794 of the family's 1533-position model. The record is from RNAcentral.